UAUUUCUACUUCAGUUUAUCCCAGAGAUGUUUUCCUUUUUGCAUUUUAUUUCUUUUUCCAGUUUCUUUGAGUUUGUCACUUGUUCUCACAUAAAUUUACUCUGUGCAGUUGCAGAAGAUAGAGUAGGUUGAAGAACAUGCAUAAUUGCAUAUGCUGUUUCGGAACUUGUAGCAUUUAAUUCUGGUCCAUAUACCCUUUAGUUGCAAGCAUGAGGACCUACCACCAAAUGGCGGCAGUUAUUUUCCUCGGCCAUUGAACGGUAUCAGUAAGUCCCAUUUUCUUUUGAUCUGCCUCUAGAUACUUUAUAGUAGCUGACAACUUUCUUGGACAUGACUUUUUCAAACCAUGGUAUUGUUGUUCAAUUUCGAUGAAAUUCCUCUCUACAGGUAACAUUUCUACAUAUUAAUGUACAACUUUUAUUUUGACAAAGUGACUACAUUUGCUAUCUCACAUUUUCAUGGAAUUCUUCAGCAAAUUUGAUACUGCGGCUUGUAAUUUUCCUGGGCAGGGGAGCAUGCAACUUGCUAAUCACAACUGUCUUGGACAUGACUUUUUCCAACCAUGGUAUUGUUGUACAAUUUCGUUGAAAUUCCUCUCUACAGGUAACAUUUCUACAUAUUGUACAACGUUCAUUUUUACUAAGUGACUAUAUUUUCUAUCUCACAUGUUCUGUGGGCGGGAGUGCUUGCAACUGCUAAUUAAAUAAAGCGAUGGGUUUUCAUGACACAAUGCUCUGCACAUGAAUCACAUUCCAAAAUACCAUCUAAUGUUUUACUUGUAAUUAGGUUUUGGCACAAACUGCUGGUCAUGAUUCAUAUCUACCAAUCAGCCAUAACCUUGUUGUAUCGAUGGUGAGUUAACGACGGCAGCACUCUUCUACACAUUAUUCCUUUGCAAACAAUAUAGGAUGUUGUAUUAUACAUGUUUAUAACAUAAUAUUUCUAGUAGCAUACUUUCUGCAAAUUAAUAUAACGUUUCAAGAAGUAGAAAGUACUUUAUUGUCCUCAUAUGGAUAAGAAAAACCCACAUCUCAUAUUAAAUAAGCAAACUCAUACCAAGAAUUUUGUAUGAUCAACUAUUUAACUGUAUACUAAUUGCAUCCCCUGUCCUGCUUAAGCUAUAAAGUGUAUUCCGGCUUAAUUUAUUUACAAGAAAAAGUUAAGUAGAUCGGUACCACUAAUAUGACAAUAUGACUCGUUACCAAGUUUGGUACCACUUAAUAAGACAAUGUGGCUCAAUUUGUUAGGACUGAUGGAGUAUUCUUGUCCAACUGUACAUAUGACAUGAUUGGUACCACUUAAUAAUUAAUAUGACAAUAUGACUCAUUGUUCGAUGACUGUUAGAGCUACAUUUUGUCAAAUUGUAUUUACAUUGUACAACUUGCAAAUUCAAGGUCUGUUACUAACCUCAUUUGCAUGGUUGUGACUUGUUUUUCAUAUAUUGUGGAACUUCAAAAAUAAUUUAAUCUUUUAUCUUAUAUUGGUAUGCUUCCGUGUUUCGGGAAAUUACAUCUGAUACAUCUUAUAUUGUGAUCAUUCUCUUGCAUUUAAUCUUUAAAUGCAAGAGACUCUAAUUAGUAAUUACAGGGUGAUGGGGAGAAGAUUCAGAUCCUUGAGUAUGGUCAUGGUACGAGGGAGAAUGAUCCUUACCACACGAAUCCUCCUUGUACUGCAUUUAUUAAUAAUCUCCUUCUACUCUAUAAGCAUAUGGAAAUAUUUAAAUAAUAAAUUAUAUUUUCUCAAUGGUUUAAGGUCGAGUGUAUGUAAUAUGAGUUUCUUAAAAACUAAUUACGUAAUUUAAUUUGCACGUUGGUUUCUCUAAUAUCAUUAAGAGAGAAAAUGACCGAAAUUGAUCAUAUUUGGGGGUCAGAAAUGACAGAAAAUUCUGACUACUAUUAACUUAUGAACAUAGACAAUACAUUCGCCAAAUAGGUGCUACUGUUGCUUCUCAAAAGUGGGCUGAAGUUUCAAGUUUCCGGUUUCUCUGUUCAUUCACUCUGAUACUGAUUUGAAUCUUGUUGUGUUUCAUAGAUACUGUUCAUAAACUCAAGCGGAAAGUCUUUAUCUAUUGUACAGAUUGGGAAAUAAAUUGGACAUACCACCACGUAAGUCUGCUGAUCUUCUAAAUUUCUUCUUUCAAAUCCUCAUUGCAGACACCUUUUAUGCUCUCAUAUUGAGGUUCUCAUUAUAUACAUAGUACAACUUGCACAUUCAAGGUCUGUUACUAACCUCAUUUGCAUGGUUGUGAAUUGUUUUUCAUAUAUUGUGGUGGGAACUUCUAAAAAUAUUUAAUCUUCUAUCUUAUAUUGGUAUGCUUCCGUGUUUCCGGAAAUUACAUCUCAUACUAUGCUUUUUGGGUGUAAUAUAUCUUUCAAUGCAAGAGACUCUAAUUAGUAAUUACAGGGUGAUGGGGAGAAGAUUCAGAUCCUUGAGUAUGGUCAUGGUACGAGGGAGAAUGAUCCUUCUUACCACACGAAUCCUCCUUGUACUGCUUUUAUAUAUAAUCUCCUUCUACUUUAUAAGCAUAUGGAACUAUUUAAAUAAUAAGUUAUGUUUUCUCAUUUGUUUCAGGACGAGUGUAUGUAAUAUGAGUUUUUUUAAAAACUAAUUACGUAAUUUAAUUUGCACGUUGGUUUCUUUAAUAUCAUUAAGAGAGAACAUGACCGAAAUGAAUCAUAUUUGGGGGGCAGAAACAACAGAAAAUUUGGACUACUAUUAACUUAUGAACAUAGACAAAACAUUCGCCAAAAAGGUGCUACUGUUGCUUCUCAAAAGUGGGCUGAAGUUUCAAGUUUCCGGGUUCUCUGUUCAUUCACUCUGAUACUGAUUUGAAUCUUGUUGUGUUUCAUAGAUACUGUUCAUAAACUCAAGCGGAAAGUCUUUAUCUAUUGUACAGAUUGGGAAAUAAAUUGGACAUACCACCACGUAAGUCUGCUGAUCUUCUAAAUUUCUUCUUACAAAUCCUCAUUGCAGAUACCUUUCAUGCUCUCAUAUUGUGGUUCAUGUUGAGGUGCUACUGUUUCUUCUCAAAAGUGGGCUGAAGUUUCAAGUAUCCGGUUUCUCUGUUCAUUCACUCUGAUACUGAUUUGAAUCUUGUUGUGUUUCAUAGAUACUUCUUUUGAUUUACAAUUAUCUAACCAUAAAGCUCAAAGUUAUUUACUUCACAUGUAUGCAGUAAAUGCUAUAAAGGAUGCACCAUUGUCUACAAGCUGUCCUCCGGGGAACUGUUUGUCGGACCAAAACUUAAGCCGCUUCAGUUAAAUUUUUUACCCAUAAUUUAUUUUAGUUUAGUUUUGAAUUCAUAUAUUCCGUACUCCUGUCCUUAUUGUUUAUGCUGUCUGAAGAUCUCAGGAGCAGGACUAUGUGGCUGGGCUAGCCCUGUUUCACCUCUCGAGGUAGUCCCUAAAGGUUCAUAAUAAGAUAGAAGAAUCGAGCUUAUUUAGUAUGGUUUCGUAAAUCCUCCUUUCUUCAUAAUUAGAUGCCAAGCACAGUCAUCUUGGUUUUGCACAUUAUUGGAACUUACAGAAGGCAUUGGGCUGAUCGUUGGGGCUUCUGUAAGCAUUAUUUGAGUUUUGCUAUAGCUUUUUUUCUCAAAGUUCUAGCACAUCUAACGAAUUGUUAUAAUCAGGUAAGAUCGUUUGGGCUUCUGUAAGCAUUAUUUGAGUUUUAUUAUAGCUUUUUUUCUCAAAGUUCUAGCACAUCUAACGAUUUGUGUAUAAUCAGGUGAGAGAGGAUGCGCUCUGCUAGCAUUUGACUGUAUCAAGAAUGGUGGGGGAGUAGUUCCCAGCACAUAUGUUGGAAUACAAACAAUAUACACUGUUCUAUAUUGGGAAUGGUUUAUUUCACUGCACAGUACUUUGGUUGAAAUCCCAUUUGAGUAAUAGGAUAUCAAAUAUCUGUCAAAAGUUAAGGGCUUUGCUAUCUAUUAAACGGCAGGUUAAGUGACAAGGAAUAAUACACUGAAAGAUUUGAGAGGUGGGAAGGUAAGAUGCAGUAGUUACAUAACCAAAGGUGAAUGUUAUUUCAUUUAUCUUCAGAGCAGGGAAUCAGCCAAGCUAGUUACUUUACUAACAUAUACAGACCAAUUUUUCUAGUAAUCUUAAUUACUUAAAUUGGGUUAUUUUGGCAUAAUUGCAUCUAAUAACUGUUUGAAUCUUUAAUUUAGUUUUUAUGAGAGCAUAAGCAUCUUGAGAAUUAAAAAUUGAUGGGUCAGUUAACUUGUAGCUGGUAUUGUGUUGAUUUUCCUAGUUCCUCUUGAUAUUCGUGGUCAUGAUGAUGAAGAUGAAGCUACGUGUUAGUCAUCUGAGAAUCUUUAAUUAUGUUUUCACUCAACCUCUAUCUUCAUGCAGGUGCUCGGAUGUUGCGGAAGGAGUUAUUUUUUUUACAGAGGGCAGAUUGCAGUUAUACAUAUAAAUGGUGACGGUAGUGAAGAAGGGACAACAAUCUAAAGAUUCACUAACCAUCUGCUGAACCAGAAACUCUGGUGGCUGGGAUGAGUUUAAAGCAACUAAAAUUUUUAUCCAUUUAUCAAGCCAAAUUAGAGGUGUAAUUUUUUAUAUUUGUUACAUGGUAAUAUAAAUGUAGAACUAGUAAAUGAUUAUGAUUGGUAUGGAUAGAAAACAAGUCAGUCAAGCAUGCAUGAAUCUAUUGAAUAAGCUUUUGAAAAUUCUGGUCUAAGGGGAUGGAUGUCACCCAAUGAGAGUGAGUGUAAUCUGGUUAAACACUGACAUUGGUCAGAAAAAGUGCUCCCUGUGAAAAGUAUUGAUUAAGAUACAGAACCCGACUGAGCAACAAGUGAUUACAAGUGUGUCCUGCAGUGUAUAUUUCUACUUCAGUUUAUCCCAGAGAUGUUUUCCUUUUUGCAUUUUAUUUCUUUUUCCAGUUUCUUUGAGAUUGUCACUUGUUCUCACAUAUAUUUACUCUGUGCAGUUGCAGAAGAUAGAGUUGGUUGAAGAACAUGCAUAAUUGCAUAUGCUGUUUCAGAACUUGUAGCAUUUAAUUCUGGUCCAUAUACCCUUUACUUGCAAGCAUGAGGACCUAUCACCAAAUGGCGGCAGUUAUUUUCCUCGUCCAUUGAACAGUAUCAGUAAGUACCAUUUUCUUUUGAUCUUCCUCUAGAUACUUUAUACAGUAGCUCACAACUUUCUUGGACAUGAGUUUUUCAAACCAUGGUAUUGUUGUACAAUUUCGAUGAAAUUCCUCUCUACAGGUAACAUUUCUACAUAUUAAUUUACAACGUUUAUUUUGACAAAGUGACUACAUUUGCUAUCUCACAUGUUCAUGGAAUUCUUCAGCAAAUUUGAUACUGCGGCUUGUCGUUUUCGUGGGCAGGGGUGCAUGCAACUUGCUAAUCACAACUGUCUUGGACAUGACUUUUUCAAACCAUGGUAUUGUUGUACAAUAUCGAUGAAAUUCCUCUCUACAGGUAACAUUUCUACAUAUUAAUGUACUACGUUCAUUUUUACAAAGUGACCAUAUUUGCUAUCUCACAUGUUCUGUGGGCGGGAGUGCAUGCAACUGCUAAUCAAAUAAAGCGAUGGGUUUUCAUGACAGAAUGCUCUGUACAUGAAUCACAUUCCAAAAGACCAUCUAAUGUUUUACUUGUAAUUAGGUUUUGGGCACAAACUGCUGGUCAUGAUUUAUAUCUACCAAUCAGCCAUAACCUUGUUGUAUCGAUGGUGAGUUAACGACGGCAGCACUCUUCUACACAUUAUUUCUUUGCAAGCAAUAUUGGCUGUCGUAUUAUACAUGUUUAUAACAUAAUAUUUCUAGCAGCAUACUUUCUGCAAAUUAAUAUAACGUUUCAAAAAGUAGAAGGUACUUUAUUGUCCUCGUAUGGAUAAGAAAAACCCAUUUCUCAUAUUAAAUAAGCAAACUCAUACCAAGAAUUUUGUAUGAUCAACUAUUUAACUGUAUACUAAUUGCAUCCCCAGUCCUGCUUAAGCUAUAAAGUGUAUUCCGGCCUAAUUUAUUUACAAGAAAAAGUUAAAUAGAUCGGUUAUGACUCGUCACCAGGUUUGGUUCCACUUAAUAAGACAAUGUGACUCAAUUUGUGAGGACUGAUGGAGCUUUAUUCUUGUCCAACUGUACAUAUGACAUGAUUGGUACCACUUAAUAAUUAAUAUGACAAUAUGACUCAUUAUUGGACGACUGUUAGAGUUACAUUUUGUCAAAUUGUAUAUACAUUGUACGACAUGCACAUUCAAGGUCUGUUAUUAACCUUGCAUAGUUGUGAAUUGUUUUUCAUAUAUUGUGGUGGAUAUUUCUAAAAAUAUUUAAUCUUUUAUCUUAUAUUGGUAUGCUUCCGUGUUUCCGGAAAUUACAUCUGAUACUAUACUUUUUGGGUAUAAUAUAUCUUUCAAUGCAAGAGACUCUAAUUUCAGGGUGAUGGGGAGAAGAUUCAGAUCCUUGAGUAUGGUCAUGGUACGAGGGAGAAUGAUCCUUACCACAUGAAUCCUCCUUGUACUGCUUUUAUUUAUAAUCUCCUUCUACUUUAUAAGCAUAUGGAACUAUUUAAAUAAUAAGUUAUGUUUUCUCAUUUGUUUCAGGACGAGUGUAUGUAAUAUGAGUUUUUUAAAAAACUAAUUACGUAAUUUAAUUUGCACGUUGGUUUCUUUAAUAUCAUUGAGAGAGAAAAUGACUGAAAUGAAUCAUAUUUGGGGGGCAGAAACAACAGAAAAUUUGGACUACUAUUAACUUAUGAACAUAGACAAUACAUUCGCCAAAAACGUGCUACUGUUGCUUCUCAAAAGUGGGCUGAAUUUUCAAGUUUCCGGGUUCUAUGUUCAUUCACUCUGAUACUGAUUUGAAUCUUGUGUUUCAUAGAGACUGUUGAUAAACUCAAGCGGAAAGUCUUUAUCCAUUGUACAGAUUGGGAAAUAAAUUGGACAUACCACCACGUAAGUCUGCGGGUCUUCUAAAUUUCUUCUUUCAAAUCCUCAUUGCAGACACCUUUUAUGCUCUCAUAUUAAGGUUCAGACACACACACACACAGACUAGUGCAGGCUCAUAUACUAUAUAUAUGUAUAUUUAAUGGGAAACAAAUGUUAUAUAUCUUUGCUCACCACCUAGAAAAAGAAUUUGUGGUUUCUAUUGAGAAAUGAUUUUUGAGUGCUUGUGGUAUUUGGUGUAAAUACUAAAGAUGUUAGUCUGGUCCCAACUUCACUCCAGUGAUUAGCCGGCUACCUCUUUUACUUCAUAUAUGUAUUAUUUAAACUCUUUAUUUACAGCUCUCUCCUUUUGCGUCGAAUACUGAUCUAAUACUUUCUGCAAUUAAUCAUUUGCAAGUUGGGGAACAAACAAGGCUUGAAUUAUCCAGAUUUUGGCUCACAUCAAUGCCUCACAUCGUAAAGAAACUUAUACUGCAACAUAUAUGGAGAAGAUCCGCUUAAAGCUUUGGACAGAACUAUAUAGCGAUUUUGAGGUAAUUUAAACUAGCGGGCUUUUGUCUAUUUGCUUAUCUGGUACUAUCUUCAUAUAUCCUGAUUAUGAAAGAUAAUCCUUUUAUUGGCAUUAGAUAAUCAACCAGAAGGCAGCUUUAUUAUUGGAGUCCAGUAUCAGCUGAAUGUGAUGCAUAUUUGGCAAACGAAGCGACAAAAAUGUUAACAGCAAACAAGUUAGUUCUCAAAGAAAUUUCUUGCACCAGUUCUUUUAUGAUUUUAUUAUAUAUAAUUCCUUUUAUUUUUUGAAAGGGGAUCUUAGAAUUGUUUUUCGCCUUUGCUUACAUAAGAGAGAGAAGUAAAUCUUGGAAAUCGAUUAGUGACAAAUGACAAGAAUAUUAGAAGUAAAAGAUGUGGGGAAAAGUAUAUCUCCCAUUGCUGGAGAGUCCUCAUUAUAUAUAUUAAUCAUUAAACAGUAUCUGUAAGUCCCAUUUUCUUUUGACCUACCUAUAGAUCCUUUAUACAGUAGCUCAAAAUUGUCCUGGGCAGGUCCUUUUUCGAACCACGGAAACCUAUAUUGUUGUACAAUUUCGAUGAAGUUCCUCUCAUUUCUCAUAUUAAAUAAGCAAACUCAUACCAAGAAUUUUGUAUGAUCAAUUAUUUAACUGUAUACUAAUUGCAUCCCCAGUCCUGCUUAAGCUAUAAAGUGUAUUCCGGACUAAUUUAUUUACAAGAAAAAAUUAUAUAGAUCGGUACCACUAAUAUGACAAUAUGACUCGUUACCAAGUUUGGUACCACUUAAUAAGACAAUGUGACUCAAUUUUUGAGGACUGAUGGAACUUUAUUCUUGUCCAACUGUACAUAUGACAUGAUUGGAACCACUUAAUAAUUAAUAUGACAAUAUGACUCAUGUUCGAGGACUGUUAGAGCUACAUUUUGUCAAAUUGUAUAUAUAUUGUACAACAUGCACAUUCAAGGUCUGUUCCUAACCUCAUUUGCAUUGUUGUGAAUUGUUUUUCAUAUAUUGUGGUGUGAACUUCUAAAAAUAUUUAAUCUUCUAUCUUAUAUUGGUAUGCUUCCAUGUUUCCGGAAAUUACAUCUGAUACUAUACUUUUUGGGUGUAAUAUAUCUUUCAAUGCAAGAGACUCUAAUUACAGGGUGAUGGGGAGAAGAUUCAGAUCCUUGAGUAUGGUCAUGGUACGAGGGAGAAUGAUCCUUACCACACGAAUCCUCCUUGUACUGCUUUUAUUUAUAAUCUCCUUCUACUUUAUAAGCAUAUGGAACUAUUUAAAUAAUAAGUUAUGUUUUCUCAUUUGUUUUAGGACGAGUGUAUGUAAUAUGAGUUCUUUUAAAAACUAAUUACGUAAUUUAAUUUGCACGUUGGUUUCUUUAAUAUCAUCAUUAAGAGAGAACAUGAACGAAAUGAAUCAUAUUUGGGGGGCAGAAACAACAGAAAAUUUGGACUACUAUUAACUUAUGAACAUAGACAAAACAUUCGCCAAAAAGGUGCUACUGUUGCUUCUCAAAAGUGGGCUGAAGUUUCAAGUUUCCGGGUUCUCUGUUCAUUCACUCUGAUACUGAUUUGAAUCUUGUUGUGUUUCAUAGAUACUGUUCAUAAACUCAAGCGGAAAGUCUUUAUCUAUUGUACAGAUUGGGAAAUAAAUUGGACAUACCACCACGUAAGUCUGCUGAUCUUCUAAAUUUCUUCUUUCAAAUCCUCAUUGCAGACACCUUUUAAGCUCUCAUAUUGAGGUUCAUAUUGAGGUGCUACUGUUGCUUCUCAAAAGUGGGCUGAAGUUUCAAGUUUCCGGUUUCUCUGUUCAUUCACUCUGAUACUGAUUUGAAUCUUGUUGUGUUUCAUAGAUACUGUUCAUAAACUCAAGCGGAAAGUCUUUAUCUAUUGUACAGAUUGGGAAAUAAAUUGGACAUACCACCACGUAAGUCUGCUGAUCUUCUAAAUUUCUUCUUUCAAAUCCUCAUUGCAGACACCUUUUAAGCUUUCAUAUUGAGGUGCUACUGUUGCUUCUCAAAAGUGGGCUGAAGUUUCAAGUUUCCGGUUUCUCUGUUCAUUCACUCUGAUACUGAUUUGAAUCUUGUUGUGUUUCAUAGAUACUGUUGAUAAACUCAAGCAAAAAGUCUUUAUGUACUGUACAGAUUGGGAAAUAAAUUGGACAUACGACCACGUAAGUCUGCUGAUCUUCUAAAUUUCUUCUUUCAAAUCCUCAUUGCAGACACCUUUUAUGCUCUCAUAUUGAGGUUCAUACACACACAUACACACACACUAGUGCAGGCUCUUAUACUAUAUAUAUGUAUAUUUAAUGGGAAACAAAUGUUAUAUAUCUUUGCGCACCACCUAAAAAGAGAUUUUGUGGUUGCUACUUAGAAAUGAUUUUUGAAUGCUUGUGGUAUUUGGUGUAAAUACUAAAGAUGUUAGUCUAGUCCCACUGGUGAAGAAGGUUUUCAUGCAUCCUCUCUCCAUGUUAUUCUAAUUGUACUUCUACAUUUUAUCAAUCUGGCAUAUCAUGAGCAAAGAAUUACAACUAAUGGAGUCGCCAGCUCGAGUUUUUCUGCUGGCGCCAUACAAUUUAGUGGCAUCUUGGCUACUGAGUAUACUAAUUUGAAUGUCAAACCUCAGAAUUCAGGGCUGGAAGAAUAUCUUCGCAAUUGGUAAUAUUACAGAUCGUAAGGUACUUUUGCACUUCUUGUUCAAUUUUAUACCACCUCCGUUCCAACAUACGUUUUGCUUUUCACUUCUUAAAUUAUUUGGACCAAAUAAUUUAAAUGUUCAGUUAAUAAUAUUCAAUACAAUUGUUGUGGAUAUAUAAUCCCUGUCUGUCCACGUGAUUUGUUCAAUGCUUUAAGAGGUUUAACUGCCUCAGUUCUGUAAAGAGUCUAAUCUUGUAUAAUUGCAUUUGUAGUCAACUGAAACAAUAAUCAUAAUGUAGGAAAUGACACAGGGGUGUCUGACACAAAAAACAUUCUCUGCAGUUUGUGGAGAAGAACAUCAAAUAUAUUAAUGUCAGUAGAAAAUGAAGAUAAAAUAUUAAAUUACGAGCCUCCUUCAGAGGCCAUUGCUAUUGUUACAAAAAUAAUAUAAGAAGGAGAUCCACAACGAUCUUCUGUAUGGUACUUUGCAUAUCGUUCGUCCAGACAUAUAUUGAAGCAAUGAUAAAAAAUAACUCUAACUCAAACGCAGUUGAUAAAAGUACAGUUGCAAAGGUGGGAUGGUAAAUGUCUUGUACACUUUUUUUAAUUUACAAUUAUCUAACCAUAAAGCUCAGAGUUAUUUACUUCACAUGUAUGCAGUAAAUGCGAUAAAGGAUGCACCAUAGUCUACAAGCUGGCCUCCGGGGAACUGUUUGUCGGACCAAAACUUAAGCCGCUUCAGGUAAAUUUUUUACCCAUAAUUUAUUUUAGUUUAGUUUUGAAUUCAUAUAUUCCGUACUCCUGUCCGUAUAGUUUAUGCUGUCUGAAGAUCUCAGGAGCAGGACUAUGUGGCUGGGCUAGCCCGGUUUCACCUCUCGAGGUAGUCCCUAAAAGUUCAUAAUAAGAUAGAAGAAUCGAGCUUCUUUAGUAUGGUUUCGUAAAUCCUCCUUUCUUUAUAAUUAUGUGCCAAGCACAGUCAUCUUGGUUUUGCACAUUAAUGGAACUAACAGAAGGCAUUGGGCUGAUCGUUUGGGCUUCUGUAAGCAUUAUUUGAGUUUCACUAUAGCUUUUUUUCUCAAAGUUCUAGCACAUCUAACGAAUUGUGUAUAAUCAGGUAAGAUUGUUUGGGAUUCUGUAAGCAUUAUUUGAGUUUUACAUAUGUUACUCCGACUCGGGUACGGAGUGUCGGACACGACAGAUAUCCGAGUGUCGGACUUGGGAACUAUGAAAAUUGGGGACACGGGGACACUGUCCUAUUUUUGGACACGGGUACGGGGACACAUCGUAAUAUACUAAUAAACAAGUAUGGUAAGUUAGACAUCUUAACAAAAAGUAACAAAUAAACUCAUAUUAAACAUGAUUUUGUAGGGAUUUUGCAAAUCAGGCGUCUUUUUUACUUAAAUCCCACUCUUGCUUCUUUCUUUUUUCUCACAUAUUUCUUUUGAAUUGUAAGUUUUACUCAUAUUUGAUUUUAAAAUUGGUCAAAGUGUCCACAUUUUAGUCAAAGGAUCCGACACGAAAUAAGUGUCGUGUCCGAGUGUCCAAGUGUCAGACAGGCAACCUAAAUAGAAGAGUCGGAGUAGUAAAACUUUUACUACAGCUUUUUUUUUCCCUCAAAGUUCUAGCACAUCUAACGAAUUGUGUAUAAUCAGGUAAGAGAGGAUGUGCUCCGCUAGCAUUUGACUGUAUCAAGAAUGGUGGGGGAGUAGAUUCAGCACAUUUUUUGGAAUACAAACAAUAUACACUGUUCUAUAUUGGCAAUGGUUUAUUACACUGCACAGCACUUUGGUUGAAAUCCCAUUUGAGUAAUAGGAUAUCAAAUAUCUGUCAAAAGGUAAGGGCUCUGCUAUCUAUUAAACUGCAGGUUAAAUGACAGGGAAUAAUACACUGAAAGAUUUGAGAGGUGGGAAGGUAAGAUGCAGAAGUUACAUAACCAAAGGUGAAUUUUAUUUCAUUUAUCUUCCGAACAGAGAAUCAGCCAAGCUAGUUCCUUUACUAACAUAUACAGACCAAUUUGUCUUGUAAUCUUAAUUACUUAAAUUGGGUUAUUUUGGCAUAAUUGCAUCUAAUAACUGUUUGAAUCUUUACUUUAGUUUUUAUUAGAGCUUAAGCAUCUUGAGAAUUUUGAUGGGUCGUUAACUUUUAGCUGGUAUUGUGUUGAUUUUCCUAGUCCAUCUUGACAUUCGUGGUCAUGAAGAUGAAGAUGAAGCUACGUGUUAGUCAUCUGGGAAUCUUUAAUUAUGUUUUCACUCAACCUCUAUCUUAAUGCAGGUGCUUGGAUGUUGCGGAAGGAGUUAUGUCUUACAGAGGGCAGAUUGCAGUUAUACAUAUAAAUAGCGACGGUAGUGAAGAAGGGGCAACAUUUCUAAAGAUUCCCUAACCAUCUGCUGAACCAGAAACUCUGAUGGUUGGGAUGAGUUUAAAGCAACUAAAAUUUUUAACCAUUUAUCGAGGAGUAAUCUUUUAUAUUCGUUACAUGGUAAUAUAAAUGUAGAACUAGUAAAUGAUUAUGAUUGGUAUGAGUAGGAAACAAGCCAGUCAAGCAUGCAUGAAUCUAUUGAAUAAGCUUUAGAAAAUUCUGGUCUAAGUGGAAUAGGGGAUGGAUGUCACCCAAUGAGAUUGAGUGUAAUCUGGUUAAACACUAACAUUGGUCAGGAAAAGUGCUCCCUGUGAAAAGUCUUGAUUAAGAUACAGAACCCGACUGAGCAACAAGUGAUUAAAAGUGUGUCCUGCAGUGUAUAUUUCUACUUCAGUUUAUCCCAGAGAUGUUUUCCUUUUUGCAUUUUAUUUCUUUUUCCAGUUUCUUUGAGUUUGUCACUUGUUCUCACAUAAAUUUACUCUGUGCAGUUGCAGAAGAUAGAGUAGGUUGAAGAACAUGCAUAAUUGCAUAUGCUGUUUCGGAACUUGUAGCAUUUAAUUCUGGUCCAUAUACCCUUUAGUUGCAAGCAUGAGGACCUACCACCAAAUGGCGGCAGUUAUUUUCCUCGGCCAUUGAACGGUAUCAGUAAGUCCCAUUUUCUUUUGAUCUGCCUCUAGAUACUUUAUAGUAGCUGACAACUUUCUUGGACAUGACUUUUUCAAACCAUGGUAUUGUUGUUCAAUUUCGAUGAAAUUCCUCUCUACAGGUAACAUUUCUACAUAUUAAUGUACAACUUUUAUUUUGACAAAG
Molecule: long non-coding RNA, 13193 nt
Filed under: Daucus carota (carrot)
Lineage: Eukaryota; Viridiplantae; Streptophyta; Magnoliopsida; Apiales; Apiaceae
Description: long non-coding RNA (DCAR_LNC000642)
Source: RNAcentral